RNAcentral lists this ribosomal RNA (350 nucleotides) under Salmonella enterica. Its description in RNAcentral is "partial 23S ribosomal RNA". It matches the Rfam family "Bacterial large subunit ribosomal RNA", at positions 1084 to 1348 of the family's 2925-position model. Lineage: Bacteria; Pseudomonadati; Pseudomonadota; Gammaproteobacteria; Enterobacterales; Enterobacteriaceae. RNAcentral also lists the same sequence under 7 other names. The record is from RNAcentral.
CCCAGACAGCCAGGAUGUUGGCUUAGAAGCAGCCAUCAUUUAAAGAAAGCGUAAUAGCUCACUGGUCGAGUCGGCCUGCGCGGAAGAUGUAACGGGGCUAAACCAUGCACCGAAGCUGCGGCAGCGAACGUAUCACCCAAGACAACUUUACGGAGUUGACGAUUGACGGAGCGAAGCGACGUCAAAGCGUUCAUUAAAGUCGAGUUGGCUUAGGGAUACGUUCGUUGGGUAGGGGAGCGUUCUGUAAGCCUGUGAAGGUGUGUCGUGAGGCAUGCUGGAGGUAUCAGAAGUGCGAAUGCUGACAUAAGUAACGAUAAAGCGGGUGAAAAGCCCGCUCGCCGGAAGACCAA